UACGCCGUAAUGCUCUCCCUCUGAAAGCUCCUCCCCUGCUCCAAUGGCGACGAAACGAAGGAGCUUCAACGACGCCACACCGGUAAGUUUCCUUUACUCCCUUUCUCGUUUUUGUUUAUUUGUUGUUUUAAGAAACAAAAGAAAAAAAAACAAAAUAAAAUAAAAACAGUAAAAAGAACAGAAGAAACAAAGCCAAAAUCUGUCACCUUCAAAAAUGUUUUUUUCGUCUAUUUUCUUUUCGAUUUCGGUACAAAAAUUUGCUCCCCAUUACAGAGAUUGAUUGGCCUUUUUAUAGCCGAAACAACGGAGAAAGAAACUAUCGAAAAAAACUCUCCUCUUUUUGUCGUAAUUUCUGCUAUUAUUUCUAUUCGUGCUUCAUGCCUUGUUGCAGGUACGGGCAUCGUGCGAAGCUACCAGACGUGGGUGAGACGACGUGGGCAGUUGCUAUGCGUUCGUGCGUGAAGACGAUUGCUGCAACGUGGGGGCGAGGGUGACGCCGAUCCGCUGCUUAUUGCCAAAGGUUUCUGCUGUUCAUUUUUUUUUUGUGUUUUAGGCUAGUGGGUUAGGUAUUUGGGUUGUUUGGGUAUUGGGCUUGUAAUUUGGUUAUUGGGUCAGGGUGCUAUUGGGUUUAAAACUGGGUUUAGUAAUAGGCUAUUAUAUAUUUUUUAGCCAGGCCAAAAUUGACCUAUUACAUUAUUUUAACAAAAUAGUCUGAUAUUACAAUUUUAUUUCUCCAUUAUAAAUCAUUUCUCAGUUUUAAAAAUUUCGGUCACUAAAAUUAUUUGGUUUAUGUCCGAGGUAUUUUUGAGUCGUUGGUGAUGCGAUAUCGCUUCGAGCCGCACACAUUUCAUAUAUCACGUCGAGAUGGGAUCAUUUCAUACAAAAUUACCGUCGUAGUAUAUAAUGGAUUUCACUCGUCGACUCAUUUCAGUAUCGAUCACGCAUUGGAUGAAUAAAUGCAAAAAAAUAAGUGGAAAGUUAUCCAAAGGAGUACACACAACUCUCACAACACAAUGUUCUUUUGUUUGAUAUUAACUUGAUACGUGUCUAUGUUAUGAAAAUUACGCCUCUUUUAUAAGAGAAUUAUGUAGGGAGAAAGAGAAUACAUGUUUUGAAUUUCGUUUGCGAAUGCAUACAUUCGUUGCAUAUUGUAUUGUGCAAAUAAUUUUUAGAAAGCGUUCAAAAGUCAUAAUUACAUCACACCUGUGCUCCUGAGAGAUUUUGUGCUACAUAACAUGCUUUACAGGUAUUUGAAAAAGUACUUUCACUCUUAAAAGAAAGGAGAUUUGUUAGAGAAAGCUCAUCCAUUUGGGUGAGCUUUCUCUAACAAAUGUUCUAUUCCCCGGGGUGAAAAGCCUAAUGUUUCAAAUAAUUCGAACGCUUUAAACACGUUUAGAAUAUGUUCAUCACUCCUGUAGCAUGCUUUCAAGGUUUUUCUUUGCAAACAGACUCUUCCUUACGGCUAUGAAAGGGCUCAUACACACCAAGCUUUAUCAUCCUUGAAUCAUAUAAUUUCUCCCCAAUCAUCUCCAUUUCUCCACUAUAAACCAUUUCUCAGUUUUAAAAAUUUCGGUCACUAAAAUUAUUUGGUUUAUGUCUGAGGUAUUCUUGAGUCGUUGGUGAUGCGAUAUCGCUUCGAGCCGCACACAUUUCAUAUAUCAAGUCGAGAUGGGAUCAUUGUCUUCGAAGCCUAUCCUAGGGAAGUCAGUUAUGGGUUGAUUUUGCUUUCUAUGGUCAAGGGUGGAAGUCGACAUAGAGGUAUCAAUCAAUAGCCGUUAUGUGGUCAUAGAUCAGGGUAUAACAGGGGAGUUAGUUGACGGUCAUUACGCGACAACGAGAUCAAACUUUUCGAAUACCCAAAAAUGUUGCCUUAAAAAUAUCAUACAUAAGCCUGAUGGCAUAAUCAUAUGAAAAAACUCUAGGGCUUCUCGUUAUAAUUGGCGUAAUUUUUUUCUCCGUUUUUAGACAACCGACACCUAAACAUUCCUUCUUAUUUGAAGGCUAGCACCGUGAUGGAUGCAAGAGGACUUGGGGAGCGGUUUUUGCAGUACAGUAAAGGUGAUGCUCCUUUCGAGGUGAUGACGAUUGUUGUUAUUAAAUAACCCAUUAAUAACUACAACCGUUGUCGCACCAACCUGAGUUUGACCUCUACUCUAUCAGAACAUUCACUCUCCACCUAAGAGCUCUUUUGUGUCCACCUUGGUGUCAUCCUUCGGACAAAAAUGAAAGGUUAAAGAUACCAGGUGCUUGGAAAUAGAGAAAAAAAUCACGUUGAUUAUAAUGGAAAUCUCCAGAGUUUUUCUGUGUGAUUAUGUCCUUAAUCUUAUGUAUGGUAUUUAUAAGGCAUCAUUUGUGGUAUCCAAAAUGCUUGACCUCCUGACUGCGUAAUAACUGUCAUCGAGACCCCAGUUAUACUUGAACCCGUGAUCGCAUCACGACCUCCGAUUGGGACCCCCACCUAGACUUCCACCCCUGGUCGUAUCAAGCAUUAUUACCCUAAAAUCGAAUUUUCUCACGAUGGGUUUCUCAGGUGAUGAUCCUAUCCCGCCAUGACAUAUGAAAUGUAUGUGUGCUGAGGCACGUUAUCACAUCCCAACCCCUCAAAGCUACUUAAGAACUUCCGCCGUUUCAGUCGAAAACCCUGAACACUUUCAAAAUACCCAAAAAACCAAAAACCCCAAAAAACCCUAACCUUACAAAAAUAAAAAACCCUAAUUCCUAUCAUCUGUGCAAAAAGCAGGCCCAACUGGAUGUGCUUUCACUUUCUCUCUCCUAAGAACGAUCUAUUUCUCCUAAUUAAAGUUUAAAACGGCUCAAACGCCUAAUUUAAAAAAUUAGCAUAUUAUGCUAAUUUAGCCACAAAUGGACCUAAAUUUUUAAAUUUAAAAAGGAUAUGGGUAUGUAUUUGACAUUUGUAUGGUCAGUUUUUAUAAGUUUUAUUUUAUUUUAUGUAUUUGGGUGAUUUUUGGAAGUUAAAUUCUUAUAUUUGAGUGCCGGAUAUGAAUACUUCAAGAAAAUUUUAUUAUAUGCAUUUCCCAGUUCAUCUAAUUUUGAUGUUAUUUAUUCGUUCUUUGAUUCUAUAUUAUUCUUUUGUAUUUUCGGGAGAUGAUAUCUUUAUUAUUUAAAUAUGUAUCGGAUACGAAUAUUUUAUCUUUAAUCGAGUAUAAUAUUAUUUUGCAGAAGCAGAGCAAAGCAAGAGAAAAGCUGAAGAGGAGGAAACUAGACCGAGCAUUAGAGUCAGUUCAACUCCACGUCCUCGAGCAGUCAUAUCUAGUUGUAGUGAUGAUUGUGAUUCUAAAUGAAACUUACAAGACUACAAGUAAAUAAAAUGGAAAGAAUUAUUCUGUUCUUAAAACCUCAAUUGCAGACAACAAACCAGUCCACAAGCUAAGAUCAGCAAAGAUUUUGAGCCGAGGGUCAGUGUUGGGCUAACCCCUUAACCCAUUUUUGAAGGUUUAAAUCUACACCAACAACCGGGAGCCAUCAAAUUUUCCUGCUUAAACGGGUUUGAAUUUGAUGCAUAAGUUGCUAUCUGUCGAGUUCUAAGCUGGGGUUGUUUUCACUAAUCAAUGACAAAAUACUUGGGCGUUUUUAUAGUAAAAGAAAAUCUAAGCAAAUGAGCUGAUUGGAGAACUCUAGAGACACCACCACCUCAAACUAGAUAAUGUUCACCUUAUCCACUCCAUUUUUAAAAUAUCUUCCCAUCACCCUUAUCUACUAUUCAUAUGUCAUUAAUAAAUUCAGCUGGUUUUUACACUUCAUUUUCGUACUUGCAGCGUCACACACGAUCCCGUACCAAAAAAUGCAGGCAGCCUUGAGCUUGGCACCUUCACCUCUCUCCAUAGUUACAACUACAAAACCCUUGUUUCCGCCAUGUAAAUCCAUGCUAAAAUUGCAGACUCCAAGAGGUUUCAAAGCAUCACCUGUUGGACAGGAUAACUCAACAGUUGAUUACAGCUCCACGGCAUCGUAAGUAUUACUUUACAUUGACUCAACCGGCUUUUUUAUUAACCAGGGUGAUCAUCUGUGUCCUGCAUCGACUUGCUUUUUGUUGUUGUUGUUGUUGCAGAGUAUUUCCAGCUGAGGCAUGCGAUACACUUGGAGGAGAAGCCUGUGAUGUUGAGAUGUUCCCUGAAGUGAAGCUAAAGCCAGAUCAAACACAAAGCAAUAAGGGUAAGACAGGUUCAGAGCAGGUUGACAGAGAAUACUUGGAGUACAACAGUCCCAAGACGUAAGAUGAUGAUGAUCUUGAAUUUUGCACUUUCAUUUCAUUUAUUUCCAUUAAUAAUAAUAUAUAUAUGAUACUUGAUGAAUAUUUCAGGGUGUUCAUAGGAGAGGCUUGUGAUGAUCUUGGAGGAGAAUUCUGUGAGCCCGAGUAUCAGAAAGGAGUUCAAUGAUUUUACCAGAUAAACCUCAAAACAGUAACUGCAAAUAAAUAAUGGGGUGGUCGCCUUCUUUGUAACCUGCAUACUGCCUUGUGUUUAUUGUGUAAUAGUCUAAAUUUUAAGCUAUUUAUCAACUUUUUUUUUCCUGCAGAUCAAAAUGGUAAUAGUCUAUAUAUCACUAAAGGAUAUCUAUCUUGUAAAGACUAUUAGUUGAGGUCCUUCGUUAGAUUUUAUAGAAUGUUGUUAGCUUUGGAAUGGCCAUAGAAUCAUUUGAACUUGAUUUGUAGAUUCCAUAAAAAUGUUUCCUAAAUUAAUCAUAUAACUUUUUGAAAAUUUGAAGAUUCCCAAAUUGGAAUUUUAGAAUUUCAAGUACCUGGAAUAGGAUAUAUGUAACAAAUUCAAUACUCUAUGAAGUCUUAGCAUGUGGAGGGGUUGUACCCUCCACACCUUGUUAGGAUUUUUUAGUGGAAGCUUGUUGGGUAUUUUUCUCAAGAGUAAGCUCCUCUGAAUUGAGCUCUCUCUCCCUCUGCUAGUUUGUCAAGAUCGUUAAUCAGCAUCUCUAAGUUCCAUCACUAUGGCAGUAAUGUUUCCACAAAUGUCUUUGUUUCAUGAUUUAAGGAUUUUUUUUUUGACAACUUCCAAGUGAUAAUCGACUAACCUCAUUCAACUUAAACAACUGGAGAUAAGCUUAUAUAAUUUUAAAUAAAUGAAUCCGAAUAAAAUUUUAAAAUUCUGAACAAAUAUAAAUUGGAUAUGAAUAAGCUUAAAAAUAAACAAAGGAAUAUAAAUAGAAAUUCAUUCAUUUAAACUCAGUUCAUUUACCAUUCCAAUCUCAUAAUGUCUAAAUGAGUAGAACUAUAAUAAACUGAAGAGUUUGUAUAUGGUCUAACUCGGCCUCAUGAACUAUGAUGUUUAACUCAUUUAUGCUAAACAUACAUAUCACCGUUUGAAUUAGACGUGUUUGAAAGUAUGAUCUUCAAUGUAUUUUAAUUUGAAAAAUUAAAUAAAUAAACUUGUGCUAUUUCAUUGGAGCAUAUAUCCAAUAAUGGUAUACUUAAUUUUUUAAAUUAUUCAAUAUUUAUGGAAUAUUGUCCCUUUCAGCAUAUACAGUCAACUCUCUCUAUAAUAACUCCAUUUGCUUGUCAAGAUUUUGCUUGUUAUAGAGAGUUGACUGUUACACACUUAUAACAAUAUACUAUUAUAGAGAGAUAAGUGUUGUAAACCUAUAACAGAAUCUAUAUCGUGAAUUUCUACCAAAUGAAAACCUGAAAAUUGUGCUUAAGAAAAAAAAGAAAGUGGAAUCAAAUCAACAAAAUUAAAAUACGUAUAGCAAGUGCAUGCAUUAUUGGUUUUAUGCAUAUUUUAUUUUGCAUUCUUUCACAUGAUUAACUAUGAUGUUAAUAAAUCUAACAAAUUAAAUUAAUCAAUACGGUUUAUCAAAUUAAAUUAAUUAAUUUAUCGUGAUCUAAUAAAAUUCAAAUAAUCAAUUUACUAACUUAUGAUGUUCUAAAUUCAUGGUAGAAUAUUUAAUUAGAGAACUUAAUAGUUUAUUAAAUUGAUAUCUUUAAUUCCACUCAUUGAAGAUUAUUUCAUUUAAUAAAAUAAUAUUAAUAGAUUUUUCUUCUGAAAUUUAAACAGUUUAUUAAAUUAAUAUUUUUUUAAUAAAUUAUAAUUAAUAGGCUUUAAACAAUAUAUUAUUAUAGAGAACUAAUUUAAUAAAUAAUGUACUUCAUAAUUAUGGUUGAUGCUUUUAUAAGUGAAAAAAUGUUAUAAAGGGUUAAAAAUAAAACAUAAAAAUUGAUUCUACUAGAAACUUUGUUGUUAUAACGAAAUGUUAUUAUGGCAGAUGACUAUUAUAAAAAAGGUUGAUUGUAUCUAAUAUGUAGUUUAUGCCUAAACCGGUAAAUUAUUGAGUGAAUAAAAAUUAAUUAAAAAUUUUCCGGAAACAUGUUGAAUUAGCCAACGCCCUUAUGUACUCAAACUUUUUAUUCUGACGGUUGAUGGAGCUAUAAAGAUAAUGACUUAAAAAUGUUAUUAUCUAUAAAUGACAUGAAAAAAAUGAUAUUAUAUCUUUAUUUAAUUGGUAGGGACCAUAAAUAAUGUAAUAAGAAUGGUUUAUAAAAUAAUUUCUUCCGAUUCUUAAUUCAUAUAUAAUAUUUUUAAUAAUAACAAAAUCAAAACUCAAUAUAGAGUCAUGCAUAUAAAAUAUUGUUUUUAUUUUUAAAUUAACUAAACUUAAAGAUUUGUGAGAUAUUUCUGUGUGAUUCAAAUAUAAGUUGAAGACUUGGUAUUUCUCCUUAUGAUUUUUGAAUGAUUUAGAAAAUUUUGAGGAUAUUUUUUCAAAUUUUACAUUCUGUUUGUACGAAAAUUCUUAAAAUAUUAAAGAAAUUUAAAUUUAAAGUAAUUCAAAAAGCAUCAUUCCUGGAUAUUAGCAUUUGUGAUUAUUUUAUUUAAGUGAAUAGGUUUUUUUUUUAAAAAUUAUAAAAAAAUAAUAUUAAAAAUAAAUAAUAUAAAAACUAUGCAAUACGACUAAUAUUAGAUUUAAAUAAAAGAUUAAAAAUGCAUAUUAGAAUUAAAUAGAAGAUAUUUUUAAAGUUUGUUUUCUAUGGUAGUAGCAAGUGUAUUAAAUAAAAUAGGUUCAUGAAAAAUUUUCAAUUAUUUUUACUAAAAAAAUUGAAUUUAAAAUCUUCAACUUUUGGAAAUGUUAGGGUUGGUUCUAGGGUUGAGGAACCUUAAAAAAAAAAACAGAUAAUAUUGCAUUUCGUACCUAUACUUUUAUAAAAUAUUUGAUGUGAUAUUUUUACUUUGAAAUGUUUAAUGUGAUACUUGAGCUAUCAAUAUAUAUUUUAGUAUAGUACCCGUAUUGCCAUAAACUAUCAAUAUGUGUCUUUAUUAUGAUACUCGGUGUAAACAACAUUAGUGAAUUGUUAAACCAACCAAUAAAAAUUCGAUACAUAAUUUUUUUUUCCAAAUCAUGAAGUCUGCAUGGAUAAUAUAAGGUGAAAAACUAAAUAAAACAAAAAAAAAAUUAAAUUAAAAGCAAAAUACUAAACAUAUGAUUUAAUAAUUCUAAUACAAAUAUAAAUACCAGAUUAAACAAUUUAUGGAAUUACACAUGUCAAAUAUUACGUUAUCUUCUCAAAAGUAUCAUAUAAAUCAUACAAUAAUAUCCUCACUGAUUCCCUCUCCAUAUAUAAAGGAAAAAUUGUUGACUAGUUGAUGGAUAUAUCAGAAAACACACUUAACCAGCAACUUUCUUAUUGGGACAAAUGUACUCGUAUUUCAAUCCUACCAUAUAGUUAGCAACCCUACAAACAAAUGCUGAGCACCAAAAGAAUUACAGCACAUGAUAUAUGGUAGUAGCAGUCUUAGUCUUAAACACACCCCAAAAAAAAUAUAAAAAAAAAACCCUCACAAAAGUUUCAAUUAACAAUCAUAAACUGGAACUGAUCAAAUGCAUGCAACAGAAAGCAAUUAACCUAUAUGGAUAUAGCUAGGUAAACCUUCCAAGGAAUAAUCUCUUCAGCCUUGAUAAUAGAGACUUUGUUUUCUUAGGAACUUUAUGGCUCUUCUCGUUGUCAUCAUCCACCACGUUCAUUUUGGUACCAAGUAGUUCUCUAAUCUUUCCUCUCUUCUCAUCAUUUCUCCUUAUCAACUCAGCCUGCUGGCUUAAAUUAUCCUCUACCACCAGUUCUGAAACCUUGAACCUCAGUUCAUUCCACAGCUUCUCAUUCUCCAUUAACUGAGAACCAUCACUUAUAUUGCGCUGGAAUGUAACACCAUUCACGUUCUUCGAGGUCUUGCUCGGGUCUGCUGGCCCUUUUGAGGGAUCAUGAUGGAAUUCAAUCUCAUGUUCAGGAUCUUCAGCUCUGGCUUCUUCAUGUUCUUCACCUUCAACAUGGUUUUGCAGUCCUUGGUUGUUGAGUUGGGAUCUCAGCUGAUCAUACUUCUCGGCUAACGAGCGGUAUGAUUUCUGCAAGUCUUCCACCAUUUCGAUGAGCUCGGGUCUCUUUUGAUAGUACAUUUCAGCCCGCUUAGCGAAUGUAUCCCCAGCAUCUUGCACGAUAAUGCUAAGUAUGGCAUUUAUCUUCAUAUCCAACUCUGCAUAAAGGAUUAAUAAAUCCGUGAAUGAAACUAUUCUACAGCAACAUAACUUUACAAUACGAAAUUUAAAUAUUACCAUUGGAGGCAGUGAGAUUAGAGUAUUCCAUUGAAUCUAAUAUCUAUCGCCACUAAGAAGUAAGAACUGAACACUAAUAAAAAGCAUGCAGAAGAAGAAGAAACUUUAAAUGGGACAAAUGGGUAUUGAGAUGCGUAUGGUUGAAGAAAAAGUUUAGUUUCCUUCCUGUGUGAUCCAAGGAAUGUGAUGGGAGCUUGUGUCUCAUUGAAGCAAAAGCAAAUGCAACAACAACAACUCAAAGGGACCAGACCAGGAAGCCACUAUAGACCAGUUAACAUGCAUGGGAUGGGCCCAAACCAAGAGUAACCGUAUACCCCUAUCAACUUUGUCAAUGAUUACUACCCUUUAACAAAUAACGAACACGCCACUUAAUUAAUUAGUACAUCAAUCCUCAUACAUCUGAUUAUUGUGGAAGAUUAUAAGCAUAGAUUCCCAUCAACAUCAACAAACAAGAAAAAGAUUACGAGAAAGAAUAGCUUGAAGCCAUUGAGAUUGCUGGCGGAGAACUUGGCUGUCCACCCGAGAUAAAACUGCAGUCUGAUGUUGUUGCACUUCUUUUUCCAUAAAGGUAGCGUCGUCGUCUCAACAAUUGCUUGAGGCUUGCGAAACAGUAAUUGUUGGAUUACUUAGACUACUGAAUCUCUAUUAGGGACUCAAAGUUAAUUAAUUCGAUUUUUCUUUUCUUUUAACCAAAUUAUUUGGUUUAACAGAAAUUCGAUUUUUUAGUUUUUAUAUUUAUAUUCAACCAUCUAAAGUUAUCAGUUUAGGACGCUCUACAAUCUUGAAUUCCAGAUUUGAAACGUUAGGAUGUUAAAUUUUAAUUAAUAUUUUUUAUUGAAGACUGAUAAUAUAGAUUUUUUUUUAUAAAUAUGAAUUUCCAAAGUUUAAUGUGUAAUUUUAUACACUAACUUUAAUUUUGUAUAAAUUUAUACAUAAAAUUUUGAUUUUCACAAGUUUUCAUAAAUUAUUAACACGAUUAAUUAUAUAACAUCAUCUUAUGUUUAUAUAUUACAUACACAAAUAAUUAUAUUUAUCCAAUAUAAAAAUAAAUUAAUAUAUUUAUUUAUUUAAAUGUGCAUAUGAUUAAAUCAAAAUUAAAGUUUCAUUUAUACAUUCGAACUAUAUAGUCAAAGUUCAUAUAUCAAACUAUACGUUGAAUCAAAAUUCAUGUGUAAUUUUAAAAUUUAUCCCUAUUAAUAAUUACACUUGCAAUGAGCAUUGCACACACAUAAUUGUCAUAUAAAGGUAGACCAUUGAUCCUUUGUGUUAGAUACGAGGAGAUACCUAUAUUUACCGGUUCUAAAACCCUUUUUAUAAAAUAUUAUCAUUUAAUUUUUUUUGAUAAUCUCAUUAUAAGUAGGAGGCUAAUACACUUCAGCGCACUCAAACCCGCAUCCUAUUGCAUUGACAAUAAUACCCUUACCAAUCGACCUAAAACUCAAUCGGCUAUUAUCAUUUAAAGUUGAAUUCACUUUUUAAAUGGGGUUUUAAAGGUAAAAACUGUUUUUUUUUUUGAAAAUUCUAUCUUUUAUAUUUUAAUUUUAUUGCGAAUCAUGUGACAAAUUUGUGUGAAUUUCAAAUUUAUUUAUAAAAAGUUAAAUCUUUGUAUUUAUAAAUUUUUUGCCCUUUUCAUUAUAUUGUACUUAUUCACUCGUAUUAAAAAAUAUAUUAUAAAUUUAUCCUUUGUUUAUAUAAAUCAUAAAUUAUAAAUAUUCACUCAAAAAGAUAAAAACGAUAGAUACAAUAUUAAUAAUUUAAUUUGAAUACAGUAAAUAUAUGAAUUACAGAAAGAAAAGAAAACUGGAUUAUUAUGACUGGAGUCAUUUUAGGCCCCAUUACCUUUGAAGAGAGGCAUUAGAAUAUCAUUAGUGGGGUCUCUGAAAUGCCCCAUUUAUAGGCCAUUACCACUCACAAGUUCAAAAUUCCAAUCAUAUUCAAAUUGGGGCUAAAAGAAGACAUUUUUCUAAAAGGAGUUUUUUCUAUAAUUAAUGGGUUAGAAUUAGAAUUAACAUAACAUAACCAUAAUAAAUUAUAAACCUAAACUGAAAUAAAUAUAAGCAUAUCCCAUACAUUGUAAAAUUGAAGUCUAGACAACCCACUACAUGUAGAAAUGGUAGAAAUCAGAAAGAUUUAAACAUGUUUCUUUGCUAAAAGAACACAUUACAAACAUACUUUUAAUUAAUUAAUUAAUAUUUGUUUUUUUUUUAUGGUGUGUACCUCGUAUUUAUUGGACUAUUUGUAGGCAGUUAGAAAGACGAUUGACGAGCAAUCGAAGAAGGCCAAAAAUAGGCUCAAUGUCAUGACGAGGAACGUCGAGAUGACGCGGUGGAUGACACCACGAUGUGGCGACGUGUUCCCACAUAAAUUGGGUCUUUUUUCCCAGUUAAGCUCUACUAUCUUUUCCAAGUUGAACUCUGAUUAAUUUAGGAAUAUUUUAGUCAUGUUAGGACUUUAAUAUUAACCUAUUUAAAGGGUCUUUGUAACCCUAUUUUAGAGAGUUGAUAGAAUAUCUCUUAUGUGGGAUUUGAUGAAGAGUUUUGGGGAGAGUUUUUGACAAAGCUUUGUAUUUGGGUUUUGGAUUUUUGCUCAUUUGGAUUAUUUUCUCCAUCUUGUACUCUUUGUUGGUUUGCCGAAUUAGUGAAGUCUUCUUUAUCCGUGAUUUUUUAUCCUCUUAAUUGAGGAUUUUCUACGUAAAUAUUUGUAUUCAAUCUUCACAUUUCUAUUUCGUUGUUUAUAAGGUCGAUCCCAACAUUCUUCAAUUUAAGUUACCUUUUAGAAUUCAAAAAUAAAAAGAUUUACCCUAUCACUUCAAAAUAAAAUGAUACAAGAUUUGUCUUCAAAUAUUAAUCUAGAUCAAUUUAAAUUAUUAAUGUAUAAUGAUAAAUUUAGCUUAUGAUGUUUACCUAUUUCCUUUUUUUUUUUUCAUUUUGGUUCUAAUAUUUUCUUUAUCACUUUGGCCAUCAACCUUCAAAUUUUAAUCAAAAUGCUCUGCUUUAGAUGUAAAAGUUGACUGAAAUGUUAAAAUUUUAAUGGCACUUACAUAGAUAAUUUUUUGAAAAAUGUUAAUUUUUUAUUAUUUUCUUUUGAAUUUUUAUUAAGUACAUGUGAAUUGUCACAUGAGUAGUCACGUUAGUGACUUUAAUAUUUUUAUAGUCCAAUCAAUUUUUCCAUCUAAAAGAAACAAAUUAACUAAAAUUUGAAGAUUAAGGGACUAAAAUGAUCAAAUAAGUAAGUGUUAAAAACUAAAUUUUUCACUAUACCGAUGAAACACAUGGAAUGUAAAGGCUUUGAAAAGGAACUAUAACAAGCUAUAAUUAUAAUAUUUUUUUGUAUCAAAGUAAAUAUUAUUAAAAGCUUUCCUAGUUGAAGUAUUGUGAAGAUGGGACAUAGACAAUGCUUGGAGGCUACUACAUGUCGGCCUUCUUACUUGUCAAGUAAACGACUGGUGUUAUAGGUCGAAAUAUAUGCAAUACGUGGGAUGGUAUGUAGAUGCUUGUUUGGGGAAAACAAGUUGGUCAAAUAUGGUUUGUAUUAUAACUUCAUUUGGAAACGUGACUUAAGUGUCAGAGAAAAUUUUUUAAAUUGCAAUUGUGUAACUAGUCUUUUUGAAUUUCAUUUGAAUGGGUUUUAGAUGAAAAGUAUAUUUAGAUAAAGGGAUUUAUGGCUAAAUGAUCCACAACAAAAAGAUUCAUCACUCGAAAUUAUUUAAGAAACAUAUCGUAAAUGUUUAAGUUUGGAUUAACCAAAAAAAAAAACACCUUUGGCUAAAGCAAGAUGAAUUUAGGAGAAAUUGGUUCUCUAAAUUUAAAUUCAUGGGGCUAACUGGGCUUAACUUUUUUGUUGGGGGAGUUGAUUGACCGUGUCUCUUUGGGAUUAUCAUGUGUCAUAUCUAGAAGAAUCAAAACUUGUUUGUUUUUCAAGGCACUUCGUGUAGUGUUGAUGAGAUAAUUAAAAUUUCCUACAACUAGAUGAAGCAGUAUUCCUCAGUUUCAAGGAUCUCACCUUAUGAAUCACGAAGUUAUCUUUCUAAUUGGCCUACAACUAGCAACUGGGUGUGUUUGAAUAUUGAUGGUUUGGUUUGGUUGGACAAGGGCUUUGCAGUUGAUGGAGGUUGUGUGAGGGAUCAUAAGGGUGAGUGGAUCAUUGGGUUUGCUAGAUAUUUGGGUAACUGUACAAUGUUGGAAUCGGAGCUUUGGGGGAUCUUGGAUUGGUUGAACCUUAUUUUGGAUAGGCGCUUCGAGAAUAUUCUUAUCCAAACAGAUAGUAUUGAAACUAUUAACUCAAUCAUGGAAGGUACUUCGGGAAACUCUAAUUCUACCAUAGUCAAGAGAAUUCAUCAGACUCUAAAAAGGGUGAAACAAUGGGAAGUUCAGCAUAUUCCCAAAGGAGACAACUUAAUUGCUAAUAGUCUGGCCAAGACAGUUCGUACUAGAAAAUUAGGUUUAAAACUGUUUGAGGACUCUCAUUGAGAGUCUAGUUUAUUUAUUUUGUAUCUUUCUUUCUUUCAAAAAAAAGUUCAUGCAACAUGCUGAUUGUCAAGUGAAAGGAUCACUUAUGCAAAUAGAGCAGUAAUUAAAAGAUUUGUUCGAGGUCUCUCUUGAUUUUACAAUAUUUUGGGUGAUGCUUAGAUCUCAUUUAUAACAUGCAUGCUUAAGGUCACUAAGCUUAAAUUAAAUCUUUGCCAUCAAGGCCUUGAGAUUCGAUUAACCAUAACUUUAUUCAUCAAAUGAUCAAAUUCAAAGAAAGCUAAACCUAAAUUCCUCACUUCUUGUCCAAAUAGUUAGCAUUUGACUUAAAUCUAGUUCCUGUGAAGUGAAAAGAGUAUCACACAAGCUCAAAUAUCAUUUUUAUUAAGGUUAUAGUGCAAAUCUAUCACUUUAGUAGAGUGAAUAUCGAAAUUUAUCAUUAUAUUUUAUUUUUAUUGGUAAUUUGCUAUUAUAUUUUAAAAAUAUAAGCAAAUUUACAGCUCAACUUUAAUUUUUUAAAAUAAAAUUUGCCAUUUAAUAUUGAUUUCGAUGGUUUGAAAACAAAAUAUAACCAAAAAAAAUAAUUUAAAUAUUUUAUUUUAAUAGUUAACAAUAAAUUAAUUUAUAAAAAAACUAUAAAUUAAUAAAUUAACUUCGAAUUUUCAUUUAAUGGAAGACUUGAAAAAUUAAAAUAUAAAAAGGAAAACUAAUUUUAUUUUUAUAAAUGAGAGUUUUUAUUCAUAUUUAAAAUUAUAUUAAUUAAAUUUUCAUUUUUCAUUAUUAAAAAAUAUUUAAAAUAUUUUUAUUGAAUUUGUCCUCAAGUUAUUUAAAAUUAAAAAUUGAAUGGUAAAAUUUAAUAAAAAAUCAAACUUAAGUUUCAAAUUUCAAUCAAGCAGGUAAAAUUCAAUAUAGAGUCAAAGAGAGGUAAAUUUAACUUUAAUUCAAAACUACAAUGGAAAAAUAUCAAUAAAACUAAAUUAUAGUGGAAAUUUUUAAUUUUUACUUAAAUAUAUAGACAAAUUUACGCAUUAGCUCUUUUAAAUAUUUUAUAAUUUAUAUAAAUAAUUUUUUUAUUUUUUUGUACAAAUAUAUACAUUCAUUAUAUUCAAAUAAAUAAACUAAAUAUUUUAAAAGGCAAAUGUUUAAUGAAUAGGCGAAAGGAAAUUUUUACCCUUGGUCUAGUAAAACUCACUUAACCUUCUGCUUAAUAAGGUGUUGGAAUUUAUAGGUAGAAAUUUAAGUAACAAGAGAUGAAUAGACAUCAUAUUCAUAAAAGAUCAUAUUUAAUGUGAUUCAUCUUUUGCCUACACUCAUGAUCUUAAAAUGGAUAAACAUCACUAUCUCCUAACUUUUCUACACAUAAAUCACUAUAUAUCCCUCCUAAUCAAAACAUUUUAUAAGCAUUACAUCUUCUAAAUGCUAUAUCUUAGUCUGCAUUUUACUUUAACACCACUAAAUUUUAUUCACUAAGAUUCCUACCUAUUAAAAAUAUCUAUUUUAUUAAAUAAAUUUAACUAUCUAUUAAACUUGGGGUAAUAGAACUACACGAGAAUCAUGCUCAAAUACUAGCAAUCAAAAUUUGGGUCAAUAUCUAACCAUCUCCACUUGGACUCAAAUUCCAUCAAAGCAUAUUUGGCCUUCCAUCUUUAACAUCAAUUCACUUAUAUAGAUAAAAAAAAAUCAUUAAAGCACCACUAGAUCAAUUAAGAUUUGCAACAAAUCUUCUCUCACAUGUCCACAACGUUACACCCACAUUAACUUGUAAUUUUUGCACAACUAAAACUAUACACCUUCCCCACAACCAUGCGUGUGUUUUGCACUGAUAAAGUUACAAACUUCCUUGCACAGAUUCUUUAAGAAUUACAUCUAUCAUCUAUUUUUUUUUAAUUCUAAAAGCUAAUCUCUAAUCUCUAUUCAUGAGAACUAUCAUUUGAUCACUGAUAAAUCUUUUUUAUUAUGAUUUCAUCUUUAUCAAUAUCAAGUAAACUUGACUAUAAAAGUAAUCCUAAUUACACUAGAACCUUAAUUAAAUAUUAUCAAUUAGAAUUCAAGUCAAUAUCUAACAUAGGUGCCCCAUUAGAAAAGCAGUUUGAAAUCAAAUGUGCUAAGUAGAUUCCCAACUAGGAAUAGCAAUGGGGUGUUACAGGACAGGAAUCCUUAACCAAUAAAAUUAGACUAAAAUCCUAAUUAACUAUUACCAUUUAGAAUUUUGAUCAAUAUCUAACAUAAGUGUCCAUUGAAAAAGUAGUUUGACUGGAAUAUGCUAAGUACAUUCCCAACUAGGAACGGCAAUUGAGUGUCGCACGGCGAGGAUUACCUCGUCCACCCCUACAUGUUUGUAUGAAUGUUAAAACAUCAACAUCCAUGGAUAUCAAUUAUAUUCAUAAUCCCUCUACACUGCUCCACAUCGCUCCACCACUUUUCUUUCACUAAUGAUUUUUCAAUUUAAUAUUGUAAAAAUAUAUAUAUUUAUAGUUUAUUGGCAAACAAACGUUCAAUGUAUAUAAUUCUUUAAACAGAUGUAUAAUAUAUAUUAUUUAAAAGGUUCAAAAGGGACCAAACCAAGAAAAACCUCUCCAUUAACGUAAUACCCGCAAAACAUAAAAAAAAGGGGGGGGGGGGGGAGCUUAAAUGCCUCCGUGAAAUCUUAAAACGUUUCACUUAUUGAUUUUAAACCAUUUUUAUUUUUUAUCUUAAUCAUUUCUACUUCUAUAUUUUAGGCUAUUAAAUCGAUAGUAACUUAUAAUAAAUAUUAAAAUAUUUCUAACUUUUACUUUAUUUAUUUGAUGUUUAAAAAUAUUGAAUGUUAAAGAUUUACAAUUUUAAAUUUUCUAUAUAAAUAUAAAAACAUAUUUGUACGUGUAUAUAAUAAAGAUUUUAUUAAAAUCCUUUAAAAAAAAAGCUUUCUAUAAAAAAUAUAUAUCUGAAAAUUAGUAAAAAAUACAGAAUCAAAAUCUCCCAUACAGUAAAAACUUGACUGAAUGGGUGUGUGUUUUACUCUGAAAUUUUUUCUAUCGUUUUCCAAUUUUCAAGAAGCAAACACGCUGUAAAACCGUGCAAAAAGUAAGACGGACAAGCAAAAAACACAAGAAUCUCUUGCAUUUUACGUAGUUGACCAGUUUAGUAGUGGUCCUAAAGAUUAUUUUUGUGCGGAAUCUCUCCUACGUCAUAGCCACACGUAUGUGGCAGGGCCGUAGACAAGGCAAAAUCUUAGUUAUCAAGCAUAGGCCCUGAGAAGCACAUUUGACUUCCACUACUUGGUCCUUUCCUUCAUUCCUUCUUUUCGUAUUGUCCGUUUUUAUUUUAUUUCUUGUUAUACCUUCCACACCCUCAAAACCAUAACCUCCUCCAACUAAUUCGGAACUACACAAUUAUAGCCCUUUCUGAAUCCCACACCCAGGACUUCACGGUCCACCAAAAUUAACAACCACAAAACAAAUAAUAAUAAAUAAUAUAUUACAUUUUAGAAUUAAAAACACAAUCUCUUGAGAUUCUUAUGUUUCAAUGCUAGACAGUACAGCCCCUAAAUCCCACGCCGCACCUCACCCCAACCUAUUCGGUUGGCUACCAUCUGCUCAAUCACCCCAACCUAUUUGGUUGGCUACCAUCAAGCUCUCCUCUCUUGACAUUCCUUUCAUUUCUAAUCAUCUUUGAUUUCAUUUUACUUUUUAACACUCACUCCUUUCAACUAUUUUUUUUUCCCUUCAAUUAAUUGCAUUUCAUUUUUACAAAAUUAGGCAUUUGGCAGUUCAUUAGUACCGCAAGAGAGUUGAGCAUUAAUGAAAGCUCCCCUUUUAACCAUGCUCAACCAGGUCAUCUUUUCAAAUCCUAAAAAGCCAUCAUUAAGGGAAUUUGCAGCUCUAAGGGCAGAAAAAAAUUUCUAUGCACUCUGUCAAAAUCAAACCGGUUCAUGUAACUCCUUUCAUCAGGUUGGCAAUCGAAGGGGGAAAGUCUGCAAUUGCCAACCAAAGAGAGUGGACAAUGUGUUAAAAAGUGAAAAUCACGGGGGGUGCUCUCCAUCCCAACGUCAACCAACCCCAAAAAAUACCUGACGGUUUUCCAUCUCCCACUUUCUUGUAUUUGACUCUUGAUUUUUAUCAGGUAUUAGUUUUAUCAGGAAAAUGAUUAGGGAGGUGGUGAUUAUUUAUGGUUUAAUGGCAAAGUCAUGCUCAUUUGCCCUCCUAUAGAGCAGUGCUGAUGCUUCCACCCUGUAUUUUUUAUUUAAAGGGAAAAAAAAGGUGUCAAGUCUAAAAAUGCUAAUAAUUGCCAUUAUACAAGUAAAUUAACAAGUAUAAACAAUCUCACCAGCCCGGGUGAACAACAAAUUUUCCAGUAGAUAGAGCCCAAUUCACCUGUUAAAAACAAAAUCAUGAAUCAGAUUUGCUUAAAGCUACAUGAUCACAACUGAAACAAAGAGCUCAGAUUUCCCAUGCUAUAGUCAAUGAAUCCAACAAGAAAAAAGUUUGUUUGCAGAAAAAUCUUAAGGCAAGAAGCAUUUACAAAUAAUUGUCUGGCAGAAAAUACACAUGAAAAUUAAGCAACUCGGAUUCUGAUAAGGUUGACUACAAUUCUCUUGAACAAUGCCACCACGAAAAACUACUAAAUUUAAGCAAUUAAACUUAGAAAAAACAGAAUACACAAGUGUCAGUACCUUGUCUGUUCCGAGAGAGUUAGCCACCACAUGUGUAACAUGCUCAUCUAUCUGAUUUGUGCACACAGCCCCAAAUUGCUCCGCUGUCUGCCACAGUGGAUGUAGGUGAGGAUUGGCUUCACCUACAGGAAACACCCUGCUAAAUACUAUACGACAACCAGACAAAAUCUUCCUUUGUUCUGUUGCUAGGAUAUUUCUAACAUCCAGAUCAUCUAAAUUCUGAUGUGAAAAGAAAUUCUGGUGUAUUCUCUCAAUAACCUAUUUCAACAAAAAUAGCGGUCAGACAUUAAUUUUUCAUAAAUGACUAUAUGAAGCAAAACAGUCUUCUCACCGCCAAAGAAGAAGCCAAAGUCCCAUCUUCAGGUCGCUCAUCAUGGUCUAUCUCAAGAAGAGAUGGACCUAAAAGACCAAAUUGGCGCCUACUACAAGGAAAAUAAGUAUACCUGUGCAAAUCAUGAUGGAAGGGCACAAGAUCAACACGGUGGCAUGGAUCAAAGUACUUGUAAGUUUAAGCAAGACAUGCAUACCUCUCUACAACAAUCAAGUUAAGUUUAUUAUGAGGCCAGACUCUCACAGAGUCAUCAAUGAUAACCACAGAUGAUUCCAUACCCAGAACCCCUUCAAGAUCCUUACUCCGGGGAACCCUCUCAUCACCAUCAAAGGGAUCACCAUCAUCACCCCUAGAAAUAACUCGUCCAGCAAACAAAACCCCUUUUGGGUCAAGCACUUUUGCCAUCUCCGUAGCAUAAAGUUUGUUGCCCAUCGUAUAAAGAUGCAGCUCAUACAACUUACUAGCCUGAAAUAGUAAGAGAGAAUCAGUGUCAAUUAAAAAUCAGGUCCUAGGGAGUAGUAGAGCCAAGGAAGAACUCAAAUGACUUGCCUUCUCUAAGAAAUUCCAGAUUCCAGGUCGCAAUUUGGUCCACAUUCCCAUAUGGUGAAAGCGGAAAAGAUGUCUCUGUGGUUUUUCACGAUCCUGUUCCUCUUUCUUUCUUAAGAUUUCUUCAUGUACUGGGUCUACUUCAAUAAACUGAGAAGACAAAAGUUAAAUGGCUUGAAUAAGAAAACCAGAAUUUUUUUGAGAGAACUGCUAAGACUUUAUUUACAACAACUCACUUUGGCUGAAUUAAGAAGUGUAUGAUCCAGAUCCAGGACAAGACAGAGUUUGCGAGCAGCAAACAUUUUCUUUUGCUCUUCUAUCCUCCUUGCCCUUUCUCUCUGGAUAGCUGCCUUUUGCCGGUCAUCAUAUUUUUCAAAGAGAUGUUCGACAUCUCCCCAUGCAUUCUGUGAAGGAGGAGGACAUGUUACACCUGCUUCAGGCGCUGUACCAGUCCCAGUCUGCUGAUCCUCAGAAUUAGAACCUUUUGUGUUCUUAUCCGUGGUUUCAGACUUCACUUGUAUUGGUUGGGAGACUAAAUUCUGGGACACUGCUGGCAGACCGGCAAAUGAUUGCGGACCAGACAUCAUGCCAGCAAUAUUUUUUAGACUUUGGGUAAAUUGCUGGGCAAUAUCUGGGGGUGGAACAAACUGACAUUGUAUUGGCUUAGCUUCUAUCUGAUUCUCAAGCUGUUUUUGGGCAUUCAUAUUAUCCUUGCUUCCCUGGGUACUUGAUGCAGGGGAGGUCCCAUUAGUUUUUAAUUGAUCAGGUCCUACACUACCGCUCUUUUGAAGCACGUUGCCAUGGAGAACACGGCGGGGAUCACGAGGUUUCAUGCGAAUUUUGCAAGACUCAUCCUGGAAAGUCAUCAAUUGAACAUCAGGACCAAAAAUGAGAUAUGUGAAUAAAUAUUAUUUUUCAUGCGUUCAACUAAAGGCAAGUUAAUUGUAUUUAUCUUCAUCUGCUUGAAACCUAGAAAUGGUAUGAAGAGAGACUUGCCAAAGAGGCCGAUGCUUAAAACAGGUACAACUUUGCACAUUUUUACCAUUUCAUUUUAUAUGUGUGUAUGUAUGUGCACUUAAAAAUAUGUAUAUAUUUAUGUGUAAAUAUAAAAUGAGGUACUCACCAAAGGAGGACCCUGAAGAUUUCCUGCAGGUUUUGACAAAGUACCAGAUGAGCUUGAGGGAACAACGUUAACAGAGGGCGAGGGAAUAACAUUUGCUGGGGGAAUGACUCCCAGAACUGGAUUUGAGCUUGGCUGAUACAAUGUAUUUUUUAGAGGAUCAGGAGUUUUCUGCUGGGAUUCAGAUGGUAAUCUCUGCUGUUGUCCCAUCUUAAGUAUAUUUAUCAGCAUGGUAGGAUUUACUGCAAUAUCUUUCAACAAAGCAGGCAAGGAAGGGUUACUCAUGCCUGUCAGUGGCACCUGCUCAUUUUUGUUGACAAUCGUAUUGGUUUUUCCACUUAGAGUACUUGAACAAGUUACUCCAUGUUCCAUUUUCCAGGAAUUGGAAUCCAAAGUCUCCAUGGUUUGGUUUCUGUUUGUUAUCUGAGACUCACAAUUAUCAGUGUCCUCUAACCACCCACCAUUUCCAGACACAGCUUGAACAUCCCUAACCCCAAGAUUUUCCAACUCGUUCUUCUGUCUUUUGGGUGCAGGACCAUCUAAAACAGGUUCUUCCGUGCUCUUUUUCUUUCUUGGAUCCAUUAUUCCACUAACAGGUGGCACUUUAGAUGCAUUAUGCAAGGGCCUUUGGUUUAGAUCCAAAGCACUCACAUUAGAGUUGGCAAACCGAAGUCUAGGAUCUCUGCUUUUUGCUGAAGCUUUUGACAGUAUAUUAGAUGCAGAACUCACAGUCACAGGUGUGGCAUUUUGAGUUGUAAACUGUCCCUGCAUGCUGGAAGUCGAACUGGCACUAUCAAUAUGAGGUGCCGAGGAAACAAUUGGAUGCCCCAUAACAGGCAGAUUUGGUUUAAAAUUACCAAUGCUGGAGGAACUAGAAACCUCCCCACCAGUAUCACAACCCUCAUCACCGGAUUCUUCAGAAGGGGUUGGGCUAGGAAGUCUAUCACUUGAAAAGAAAGAACCUCGACCAAAUUUUCUUUGAUAGCUGGAAAAGGCUUUGAGGGCAUCCGUUUCAUAAGGAUGCAUUUUAUUAUGUUCUUCAUCAGGCAAACCCUUAGCCAUCAUAAAUCCAGAUCUAACCAUACCAUCUCCAGUAGUCAAUGGCCUGAGUACAGGUAAACAUGGUGUUGUUUCUCGAGUAGGCGAAGGAAGGCUGUCUGCAUCAUGAUCCUUGUGAAGGUCUAGCAGGGGUAGUGAAAGACCUUUGUUCCUAAAAUUAGGUAUUCCAGGCUUUAAAGCUUCUGUUAACAUAUUUGGCAUAUUAUGAAUUUCGGAAUCAACAGAUAAAGGCAACUUAUUUGUGACGGUCAAAUCAUGACCAACAUUUUCAGCUAAAGCAUCAGGAUCCUUCUUAUUAACAAUCUUAAUCUCUUUCUCUGAGUCAAUUGCUCUAGCAGGGGAAUUUAGCGAUAGCAGCAUCACCUCUAUCUGUAAAGACAGACAACUGUGUUUAAGCUUGCCAUAAACACAACAAUCUUACAAAGCUAAUAGUUUAUAAACUAGUAAGUCAUGAACAACACACCUCUUUCAUCUUGUCAAGAGGAAACAGAGGAGGAUCAAAACCCUUUACGACAGAAAGUAGCCUGUUCCCAAAAUGCAAAAGAAGGAGAUAA
Molecule: long non-coding RNA, 21292 nt
Filed under: Gossypium barbadense (sea-island cotton)
Lineage: Eukaryota; Viridiplantae; Streptophyta; Magnoliopsida; Malvales; Malvaceae
Description: long non-coding RNA (GBAR_LNC015771)
Source: RNAcentral